AUUGAACGCUGGCGGAAUGCUUUACACAUGCAAGUCGAACGGCAGCACGGGGCAACCUGGUGGCGAGUGGCGAACGGGUGAGUAAUAUAUCGGAACGUGCCCAAUCGUGGGGGAUAACGUAGCGAAAGUUACGCUAAUACCGCAUACGAUCUACGGAUGAAAGCGGGGGAUCGCAGGACCUCGCGCGAUUGGAGCGGCCGAUGUCAGAUUAGGUAGUUGGUGGGGUAAAGGCUCACCAAGCCGACGAUCUGUAGCUGGUCUGAGAGGACGACCAGCCACACUGGGACUGAGACACGGCCCAGACUCCUACGGGAGGCAGCAGUGGGGAAUUUUGGACAAUGGGCGCAAGCCUGAUCCAGCCAUUCCGCGUGCAGGAUG
RNAcentral lists this ribosomal RNA (378 nucleotides) under uncultured bacterium. RNAcentral's name for it is "bacterial SSU rRNA". It matches the Rfam family "Bacterial small subunit ribosomal RNA", at positions 30 to 410 of the family's 1533-position model. The record is from RNAcentral.